UGGGGAAUUUUGGACAAUGGGCGCAAGCCUGAUCCAGCCAUUCCGCGUGCAGGAUGAAGGCCCUCGGGUUGUAAACUGCUUUUGUACGGAACGAAAAAGCCCUUUCUAAUACAGAGGGUCCAUGACGGUACCGUAAGAAUAAGCACCGGCUAACUACGUGCCAGCAGCCGCGGUAAUACGUAGGGUGCAAGCGUUAAUCGGAAUUACUGGGCGUAAAGCGUGCGCAGGCGGUGAUGUAAGACAGUUGUGAAAUCCCCGGGCUCAACCUGGGAACUGCAUCUGUGACUGCAUCGCUGGAGUGCGGCAGAGGGGGAUGGAAUUCCGCGUGUAGCAGUGAAAUGCGUAGAUAUGCGGAGGAACACCGAUGGCGAAGGCAAUCCCCUGGGCCUGCACUGACGCUCAUGCACGAAAGCGUGGGGAGCAAACA
Molecule: ribosomal RNA, 427 nt
Filed under: uncultured Comamonadaceae bacterium
Lineage: Bacteria; Pseudomonadati; Pseudomonadota; Betaproteobacteria; Burkholderiales; Comamonadaceae
Also listed under: 1 other name
Description: partial 16S ribosomal RNA
Rfam family: Bacterial small subunit ribosomal RNA
Source: RNAcentral